Molecule: ribosomal RNA, 428 nt
Filed under: uncultured bacterium
Lineage: Bacteria
Description: bacterial SSU rRNA
Rfam family: Bacterial small subunit ribosomal RNA
Source: RNAcentral
AUUGAACGCUGGCGGCAUGCUUUACACAUGCAAGUCGAACGGUAACAGGCCGCAAGGUGCUGACGAGUGGCGAACGGGUGAGUAAUGCAUCGGAACGUGCCCAGUCGUGGGGGAUAACGCAGCGAAAGCUGUGCUAAUACCGCAUACGAUCUAUGGAUGAAAGCGGGGGACCGUAAGGCCUCGCGCGAUUGGAGCGGCCGAUGUCAGAUUAGGUAGUUGGUGGGGUAAAGGCUCACCAAGCCAACGAUCUGUAGCUGGUCUGAGAGGACGACCAGCCACACUGGGACUGAGACACGGCCCAGACUCCUACGGGAGGCAGCAGUGGGGAAUUUUGGACAAUGGGCGCAAGCCUGAUCCAGCAAUGCCGCGUGCAGGAAGAAGGCCUUCGGGUUGUAAACUGCUUUUGUACGGAACGAAACGGUCUGGGU